UGGCGGGACGGGGUGGAGUAAUGUCUGGGAAACUGCCCGAUGGAGGGGGGUAACUACUGGAAACGGUAGCUAAUACCGCAUAAUGUCUACGGACCAAAGCGGGGGACCUCCGGGCCUCGCGCCAUCAGAUGAACCCAUAUGGGAUUAGCUUGUAGGUAAGGUAACGGCUUACCUAGGCGACGAUCCCUAGCUGGUCUGAGAGGAUGAUCAGCCACACUGGGACUGAGACACGGCCCAG
RNAcentral lists this ribosomal RNA (238 nucleotides) under uncultured bacterium. RNAcentral's name for it is "partial 16S ribosomal RNA". It matches the Rfam family "Bacterial small subunit ribosomal RNA", at positions 104 to 334 of the family's 1533-position model. The record is from RNAcentral.